UGCGUAGGCGGACUAAUAAGUCAGUGGUGAAAUCUUUCGGCUCAACCGAGAAACUGCCAUUGAUACUGUUAGUCUUGAGUUCGGUUGAGGUAGGCGGAAUGUGUAAUGUAGCGGUGAAAUGCUUAGAUAUUACACAGAACACCAAUUGCGUAGGCAGCUUACUAGACCGACACUGACGCUGAGGCACGAAAGCGUGGGGAGCGAACAGGAUUAGAUACCCGAGUAGUCC
Molecule: ribosomal RNA, 229 nt
Filed under: uncultured bacterium
Lineage: Bacteria
Description: partial 16S ribosomal RNA
Rfam family: Bacterial small subunit ribosomal RNA
Source: RNAcentral